Molecule: ribosomal RNA, 389 nt
Filed under: uncultured bacterium
Lineage: Bacteria
Description: bacterial SSU rRNA
Rfam family: Bacterial small subunit ribosomal RNA
Source: RNAcentral
AUUGAACGCUGGCGGCAUGCCUUACACAUGCAAGUCGAACGGCAGCAUGGAAGAGCUUGCUCUUCUGAUGGCGAGUGGCGAACGGGUGAGUAAAGCAUCGGAACGUACCGUGUAGUGGGGGAUAACGUAGCGAAAGUUACGCUAAUACCGCAUACGCACUGAGGUGGAAAGCAGGGGAUCGCAAGACCUUGCGCUAUACGAGCGGCCGAUGUCAGAUUAGCUAGUUGGUAGGGUAAAGGCCUACCAAGGCGACGAUCUGUAGCGGGUCUGAGAGGAUGAUCCGCCACACUGGGACUGAGACACGGCCCAGACUCCUACGGGAGGCAGCAGUGGGGAAUUUUGGACAUGGGCGAAAGCCUGAUCCAGCCAUGCCGCGUGAGUGAAGAAGG